UCGCGGGAGCCACGCCCUGCAGGUGCGAGCCACGAGCAGCGGGUGCGUUGGGCCCCGCGGGAGCCACGCGCGGGGGAGCUUGGCCUGCGUGCGCGGGCGGCAUGGCGGCCAUGGAUCCGGAGUGCAGAGAUGUGGAGGUGGUGCUCAGGCCAAAUCAGAUGAGUUUGAAUCUUGUUGUUAGGGUUCGAUCAUUCUUUAGUUUGCCUGGAUAUGUAUGAUGCCGUUAUGCUUUGGUGGUACAUCUCUUUUGAAUAUGUAUGAUGGGAUAUUAUCUAUCUGUAUGCGAUUUUAACUUAGUUUUGUGUCA
Molecule: long non-coding RNA, 307 nt
Organism: Panicum virgatum (switchgrass)
Lineage: Eukaryota; Viridiplantae; Streptophyta; Magnoliopsida; Poales; Poaceae
Exons: 2
Source: RefSeq, a predicted model, not a curated record